RNAcentral lists this unclassified non-coding RNA (257 nucleotides) under uncultured fungus. Its description in RNAcentral is "partial contains 5.8S ribosomal RNA, internal transcribed spacer 2, and large subunit ribosomal RNA". Lineage: Eukaryota; Fungi. The record is from RNAcentral.
AACGCACAUUGCGCCCCGUGGUAUUCCGGGGGGCAUGCCUGUUCGAGCGUCAUUACACCAAUCAAGCACAGCUUGGCAUUAGGUCUUUCGUCCGCGGUCACACGCGGGCGGGCCCCAAAACCUUCGGCGGAGUCAAUCCGGCUUCGGGCGUAGCAGAAUCUGUUAAAACGUCCGUGUGGCCGGGGGGUCUUCAGCCGUCAAACCAUAUAUUUUUCAAGGUUGACCUCGGAUCAGGUAGGAAUACCCGCUGAACUUAA